Non-coding RNA from Chanos chanos (milkfish), 339 nucleotides. NCBI's taxonomy places the organism in Eukaryota, Metazoa, Chordata, Actinopteri, Gonorynchiformes, Chanidae. The record is from the annotation of a RefSeq genome assembly.
AUGUUCCCUUUUUCUCUGCUGUCACAGCUGCUGAUGUUGGCAGCCAUGUCCUGUGAGUUUUUGGUUUUGUGUCAGGUUGUUCUCACACAGUCAGUGGUUGUGUCUCCAGGUGGAGCCCACAAACUCACCUGUGCCUGCAGUGGAUUUAGUGUGAGUGGCAUUAAAAUGCAGUGGGUACGUCAGGCUCCUGGAAAAAGACUUGAAUGGAUCGUGUACUAUUAUUCUGAUUCUGACAAGAGCACAGCCCAGGCAUUGCAGGGCCGGUUCACAGCAUCCAAGGACAGCUCUAAUUUCUACCUUCAUAUGAACCAACUGAAGACGGAAGACACAGCAGUUUAA